This 260-nucleotide ribosomal RNA is filed under the name uncultured bacterium. RNAcentral describes it as "partial 16S ribosomal RNA". It matches the Rfam family "Bacterial small subunit ribosomal RNA", at positions 337 to 614 of the family's 1533-position model. The record is from RNAcentral.
GCCUACGGGAGGCAGCCGUGGGGAAUAUUGCGCAAUGGGGGAAACCCUGACGCAGCAACGCCGCGUGCGGGAUGAAGGCUUUCGGGUUGUAAACCGCUUUCAGCAGGGAAGAUAAUGAUGGUACCUGCAGAAAAAGCCCCGGCUAACUACGUGCCAGCAGCCGCGGCACUACGUAGGGGGCAAGCGUUAUCCGGAUUCAUUGGGCGUAAAGCGCGCGCAGGCGGGCCGCUAAGCGGGACCUCUGAUCUUGGGGCUCAACC